UUUUUGCUUUUUUGUAGUAGUGUCCUAUAUAAAACAACAUACAUGAACAUUAUGCAUUGCCACAAAAGUUUUUGUGACACCUAGAGUGCAUUCUCAUAAGAGUUUACAUGACACCUACUGUUAGUGCAUUGCCACAAUUGUUUCCAUGAUACUCAUUGUUAAUGCAUUGUUAGUUUAAAAUAUGAUUAACUACAUUUUACUCUCUUCGGGUUUAUGGUCAUUAUCGAAAUGGGCUCUGGAGUUUUAAUUUCAUCAAUAUGAACCUAACGUUUUUAAAUAUGACUAAAUUACGCACUCUAUCAACUUCACAGUUUUAUUUUCUGUUAAAUUGUUGUCAAAUUAAUCAUGUCAUUGCCAUUUUCUUUAUUAUUUUCUUUACACAUCAACAUAAAAGUGACUAUCCUACAUGCCACGUCACCAAAUUACCAGAAAAUCAAACGAUGAAGUUGACGGAGUGCGUAAGUUGGUCAUAUUUAAAUACAGUGGCGGAUCUAGGAUUCAAAAGUCAAGUAGGCGAAACUUACCUUAAAAACUCGACGGUACGAAUGAAUUUCAUUCAUAAAAAUAAAAAGAUACAUCUAAUCUAGGGGACGUAGUGAGCCUUAUCCUCAAAUAUGCAUUCUAUAAAAAAAUAUAAAAAAAUAAAACUAAAAAAAAAUUAAAUUAAAUGCAAUGCAACACAAAACAAAACUAUUUAAAUCUAAAACUUUACCCUACGAGGGUUAGAAAUCUUAAAUUCCUCAAUUAUCUAAGAUGCAUACAUUUAUUUUAGGAAUAACUCAAUAGAAGAAGAUAAUUAAAGAGAAGAGAAUAAGAAGAAUACUUGUUUACCCUAUUGCACAGUCAAGACUGUUGAGAAGAAGUUGCUGACUGUCUGGAAUUGCACAGCCAAAAGCUAUUUGGCUGCUUAUAAGUUAUAUUCCUCCUUUUUUUUAAAAUUUGACUAGGCCAUUCCAUUACACAAAAGUGUGGGUUGGUUAUAAUUUUUUCCCUUUUUUUAAAAGUUUGAGUGGACUUUAACAUAUGUGGGUUGCUUUUAAGUUUUACACGGGCUGGGUAGGCAUGGGUUUACAUCUUCACAUGUGAUGGAUAAGAAUAACUUUGCUUAUAUAUAGGUU
Molecule: long non-coding RNA, 1118 nt
Filed under: Prunus persica (peach)
Lineage: Eukaryota; Viridiplantae; Streptophyta; Magnoliopsida; Rosales; Rosaceae
Description: long non-coding RNA (PPER_LNC000329)
Source: RNAcentral